Molecule: RNA transcript, 7451 nt
Organism: Anolis carolinensis (green anole)
Lineage: Eukaryota; Metazoa; Chordata; Lepidosauria; Squamata; Anolidae
Gene: tsc22d2
Gene name: TSC22 domain family member 2
Exons: 2
Source: RefSeq, a predicted model, not a curated record
UAUGUCUACCUUAUAUUUUAAAAAUUGUGCGGCCUGUGGCGCAAAACUGCCCGACUCCGAUGGACACAAUAAGUGUCUUAUAUGCCUGGGGGAGGGCCAUGUGCCUCAGACGUGCCAAAUUUGCCAAAAUUUUACCCCCCAGGCACGCCGCAACAGGGAAGCCCGCCUUAAGGCCGCUCUAUACGAACAGGCUCUGGCGCCAGAAGCGGCGCGCGCUUCCAAACGGCCAUGCCCUGAAACACUCUCCCACCCUUCCUCUACAGAAGAGCAAGAUCCCCCUCCCCCCGCUGAAGAGGGAUUGGCAGGCCCACUCGAGCCGCCGACCGAGGCGCCGAGGAAAAAAGCCAAAGCCGCCAAACCACAGAAGGGGCUCAAACCCAAGGAUGGCUUCAAAAAAUAUAAAAAAGGGAGGCAACUCAUUGGCGAGAAGCCCCUGAGUCCCCCUCCACAAGCCUCACCUGAACGCGAUUCUUCUCGGGACCGAGAUUCCCCGAUCCCGCCCAUGGAGGAAGCUCCGCCCCAUCUAUCCCCUGUGGAGCCCUCCCAGGCCCCGGGGGCAGCGGUGACGAGCGUGAGCGUACACGCCAACCCUCAGAAUGCCAGCUCUUCCCCGCCGCAAACUUUGUGCUAUCCCCCGCCCCGCCCAACAGCGGAGGCAGGGAGCAGCGCCAUGGAGCGCCGAGGCCGGAGCACCGAGCGACGGCAGCAGACCGCACACGGAAGGCGUCGGUACCGUGAGCGUUCCCCCUCUUCUGAAUCCUGGGGCUCGCGUUCGAGGAGCCCUUCCAGGGCCUCCUUUUACCCACGAUCUCUGUCUCCUGGCCAUAGCUCGCUCUAUCGUUACCCCAAUUUCUUUUAUCCCCCCCCCCUCCAUUCCCUGCUUACCCUCCUUACCAUUAUUUUGACUUCCAUCGAAACCGAGGGGAACUGCCUCUUCCACUACAAGGGCAAACUCCCGAUGCCCCUCCCAUUUCAGCCACUCAAGCCAAAGCUGUUCAACAGCCCCCAGCAGCGAUCCCAGAGACCGCAAUUUCCUCUCAGGUAGCCAAAACCCAGCCAGCAUUCCUGGAUAGUGAACAAGCUCAGAGCCAACCGGCUCCAUCUCCAGAGGGAAUACAUGCGGGAGAUAUAGAUCCAUCUGUGGAAGAUGAUGGACCCUCGUCUACACCUCUAACGGAAACGGAGCAAGAUCCUCUCCGUACUGAGGAAUUUCGUAACUUUGCUGCCCUUCUCAUAAGACUCUCAAGAGCUCUUAACUUAGAAACACCGAAACCCACCAAUGUUGUGAAGGACCCGUGUUUCUCUUCUUCGGAGCAACAAUCACCAACGCCUACGGCACUACCAACCCUGCCCUAUUUGCUCCAGAUUAUCAAAACAGUUGGCGUUGCACCAUCCCUGGUUCCAGCUACCCCAAAAAGAGCUGAGAAUCUUUACAAGUUGGACCUGUCGGCAACCUCCUGGCUUGCCAAGAUGCCCAACGCUAACUCUGUCGUAAAGGACGCGCAACCUAAACCGGCCCAGAAAGCCCAGCUUACCCCUUCGGACAGGGAAGGCAAAAAAUUGGACACUAUGGCAAGGAAAUUUUAUUCUUCCACUUGCCUUUUCGCCAGGAUGGCUCACUUUAGAGUAUAUAUGAGCGUAUACCAGACCUAUCUUUGGAACAAAAUUGGUCCCUUCCUUGAAUCUCGUAUCUCCCAAUGAGCAAAUCUUAGCCAAGGCGUUUAAACAAGAAGCCACGCUCCUCGCGAGUCUUCACAAGGAGCUAGCAAAAAACACCGCCGAUGCAUCUGGCAAACUUCUAGCAGGAGCAGUCGCCCUACGUAGACACGCUUGGUUGAGGGCUGCUACACUGUCCCCAUCCGCUCGUUCCCUCAUCGAGGAUCUUCCCAUGGACGAGGCCGGAUUAUUUAACCCUGAAACUGACUCACAAUUGCAACAUUCCCACAAAAUGAAGCAGACCAUCAAUAAAUAUGGUCAACAUCCUCACCAACCUUAUUCUUACCAUCAGCGUCAGCGUUGGGGAUAUCAAUCCCAAUACUACCGGGGACGUUACAGCCCCUCAUUCUCUCGGGGAAGGCAGCGCCAGCAGCCCACCUUCACGGGGAACCGUAAGCCGUCUUUCCCUUCCAGAGGUCAAUACAAGGGGCCCAAGCCAGUGGACAAUAGGAGACGGCGCUUUUAGCCCGACAUCUCCAUUGCCCGCGUCGUUGUUUCCAGUUCAUUCUGAAGCCCGGUUGGCUUCUAGUUCCCUAGUUGUUCAACACCCCUCCUCUCCAGAAGUUCCCCGUUUAUACCUUAACAGGCUCGUUCCAUACUUGAAUGAGUGGCGGCGAAUCACAUCGGAUUCAUGGGUUUUGAGUAUUGUGGAGGAAGGUUACUCUAUUGAGUUUCUUUCCCUUCCACCAGUGGGACACGUUUGUGCCACCACCCCAUCAGAUGUACUCCUCGAGGAAAUAUCUGUCCUGAUUGACAAAAGAGCCAUCUCUUCUAUCCCGCCCAGUAAGAUCCACCUUGCCUAUUUUUCUCGUUAUUUCCUGGUUACCAAACGAGGAGGGGGUCUCCGCCCAAUACUGGACCUGCGCGGCAUUAACCGUUUCAUCAAACCGCGCAAGUUUCGGAUGGUGUCGCUUCCCACAAUUCUCCCUUUCAUUAGGAAAGGAGCCUGGUUAGCCUCAGUGGACCUCAAAGAUGCUUAUUUCCACAUCUUUGUUAAAGAGGACCACCGUAGAUACCUUAGUUUUGCAGUAGAUGACCGUUUCUUCUCCUACAAUGUUUUACCCUUCGGCCUCUCCACAGCCCCAAGGGUUUUCACUAAAUGCAUGUCAGUAGUGGCAGCAUACUUACGUCAGCAUCACGUAAUGGUCUUUCCAUAUUUAGACGAUUGGCUUUUAUCUUCAAAUUCUAGAGACCAACUAAAAUCUGACAUUCGUUUCACCCUAUCUCUCUUACAGACUCUAGGUCUCAUUGUCAACCAAGAGAAAUCCCACCUCCUACCCACUCAACGCAUCAAUUUUAUCGGUGCCAUUAUAGAUUCCAACGCUCAAAGGGCUUUUUUACCACAAGAAAGAUUCCUAAACCUGAAGACUAUGAUUACAGAGCUAUGCCGCUAUGGCCGGGGCACUGCGUGGUCAAUCCAGUCCAUCUUAGGCCAUAUGGCGUCCACCACAAACGUCACCGCGUUCGCGCGACUGCGCCUAAGGCCCCUCCAAAAUUGGUUUGUACGGAAAUUCAACCCGCUCCUCCACCGUCAAGAUCGCAUUCUGUCCCCUCCACAAGCAAUCCUGAGAUCUCUCGCAUGGUGGACAAAGGAACACAAUGUUUGCUCGGGCCUCCCGUUCAACUCUCCUCAACCGUCUGUAUCACUGACAACGGAUGCAUCCUCCCAAGGCUGGGGCGCUCACCUCCAGGACCUGACCACACACGGCCAUUGGUCGACCAUAGAGCUCAGUCUUCACAUCAACGCACUCGAGCUCCUGGCGGUGGAGAAAGCCCUCAAAUCCUUCUCCCCCCUUGUCAAGAACAGGGUCGUCCAACUGAUCACGGACAACACUACAGUAAAAUUCUACGUCAACAAACAGGGAGGGACUCAUUCACAGACUCUCCUCUCCAUUGUGUCCCGAAUUUGGGAAUGGUGCAUUCAGAGACAUGUCUUCCUGAUGGCAAUUCACCUACCAGGGGUGGACAAUGUGUUGGCAGACUCCCUGAGCAGAACAACCCUAAACAACCACGAGUGGCACCUCCAUCGCAGGGAAUUCAAAUUCAUUACUCGCCGGUGGGGGACUCCCACGAUAGAUCUCUUCGCCUCACCAGCGAAUACACAGUGUCCUCGGUUCUGCGCACGUAUGCGCCCUCACGCAUCCCCAGGAUGCUUAGGAGACGCUUUCCUCUUCUCAUGGAUACCAGAUCUCCUGUAUGCAUUCCCACCACUUCCACUCCUAGCCAGAGUUGUGGCCAAGAUUGUUUCGGACAACUCCAACUGUAUUCUGAUCGCUCCCUGGUGGCCACGCCAACCAUGGUUCGCAACACUCCUGGAGACAUCACGGGGCGAUUACAUUCAUCUGAGAAACAGUCCAAACCUCCUCACGAUCCACGACGGCCUGGUCAGACACCCGGACGUACCAUCCUUCUGGUUAACGGCAUGGAGGAUAAGACCACAGCUCACCUCUCCGACGCCGUCCGUGCUAUAGUCCUUGCAGCUCAAAAAACGUCUACUAAAAGAUCAUAUACUUACAAGUGGUCUCGUUUCAAACAUUUUAUUUCCCCCUCUGGAAAUAACCCCUUCACAGUUCCAGUUUCGACGAUACUUGACUUUUUCGUUCAUCUCUCUUCCAAACAGAUGUCACUCUCAUCUAUCAAAUGUUAUGCAGCGGCCCUAUCCUGGUUCAGGAGAAAGGCAGGACAACUGUCACUUUUUCAGGACCCUCUGCUCCGUCUAUUCCUAAAAGGUUACAAAAAUACUUACCCACCCAGUUCCCUGCCUCCCCCAUCAUGGAGCCUAGAAUUAGUUUUGUCACAGUUAUCAAAACCCCCCUUCGAACCCAUGUCGUCCAUCGACCUGGCCCAUCUUUCAUGGAAAACUGCAUUCCUGGUGGCAAUCACCUCCGCCAGACGAGCAAGCGAAAUUACAGCCCUCCGGGUCGAUGCCCCUUACAUCAGAUUCUCGGAUGAUAAAGUGACCCUCCAAACAGACAUCUCCUUCUUACCCAAAGUAGUGUCUCGUUUCCACAUGUGCCAAGAUAUUGUUCUUCCCGCACUUUUUCCAAAUCCGUCCACUCCUCUGGAAAUGUCUCUCCAUUGCUUAGAUGUCAAGAGGGCACUGCUUUUUUACAUCAAGAGGACUGCCGCCCACAGGAAGUCACCCAGACUUUUUCUUAAAUAUACAAACGACGCCUUAGGCUUACCUGUAUCCUCACAACGUCUAGCUGUCUGGAUCACAUCUACCAUUCACUUAGCCUACCAACUAGCGGGUAAAGACCCCCCAUCCCAUGUGGCGGCGCACUCCACCAGAUCCCUUUCAACCUCUCAAGCCUUUCUUCGGGGUGUCUCAUUGGAAGAUAUCUGCAAAGCAGCCACCUGGUCGUCCCCAUCGACCUUUGUAUCCCACUACAAGCUGGACAUCCAAGCUAAACGUGAUGCAGCCUUCGGCAGAGCGGUGCUGUUUUCCUGCGUGGCAUGACCCACCUCCAGGUUGGUAGCUUGUUAGUCACCAUAUGUGUGCAUUUCACAGACAACACGUAAGAAGAAGUAUAGGUUGCUUACCUGUAACCGUAUUUCUUCGAGUGUUGAUCUGUGAAAUUCGCACAGCCCCGCCCAGCCUCCCCGCUGAUGUCAUGCCUCGUUUUUCUCAGCUGCUGUCGGCGGCGGAGAACUGAGGCGUAGCCCCGCCUAUAGGCAUAUUUAUACUAUGGGGAGAUUGGGCGGGGCCUCCGCCAAAAAAAAAAGUUUCAUCUAAAGCUUCUAGAAGGUUCCGAAAUCUGCGCAGGCGCAUUGGGGUAAACCAUAUGUGCGAAUUUCACAGAUCAACACUCGAAGAAAUACGAUUACAGGUAAGCAACCUAUACUUCUCACUACUUCAUUUAAUACAUUUAUAUCCCACCUCACCAAUGGACUUUUUAGAUGGAUUUAAUCUAUAAACCAUGAACAGUUUAAAGUUUCUGUGUGAUAAGACGUGACAGAUGACAGUUCUUAACACAUAUAUAUGGCCAUGUAUAAAUAUGUGAGGGGAAGUCACAGGGAGGAAGGAGCAGGCUUGUUUUCUGCUGCCCCGGAGACUAGGAUGUGGAACAUUGGCUUCAAAUUACAGGAAAGGAGAUUCCACAUGAACAUUAGAAAGAACUUCCUAAAUGUAAGAGCUGUUCAGCAGUGGAACUCUCUGCCCCAGAGUGUGGUGGAGGCUCCUUCUUUGGAGGCUUUUAAACAGUGGCUGGAUGGCCAUCUGUUGGGAGUGCUUUGAAUGCAAUUUUCCUGCUUCUUGGCAGGGGGUUGGACUGGAUGGCCCACAAGAUCUCUUCCAACUCUAUAAUUCCAUGACUAACUGUUGGUCCCUGAUACAUGCUGAACAAUGCAAUACUACUUGGUCACCCCUGUAUCGGCAUCACUUUUUCUCUUCUGUGGUGGCAUCAUUUGAAAAUUAAAUAUUUUUGCAAUUGAGUUAUGAACAUUAAGGGUUUUUUUGCGCGCAUGUCAGAAAAAGUCAUAGAUGCAUAUUGAAAAAAAAGGUAAUCCUUCUGCUGUGGAAAAUCAGGUGAAUUCAUUGUUAGAAACAACAAGCAGUUUCCAUCUUCUUUGAGCAGUCAAUUCUGAAUGUUUCAUUUUAAAAUUGACAAAAAAAAAUCUACGGUUAACUAAGUUUUGGUAAUUGUUGAAUUCCAAUGCGCUUUUUGAAACCUUUAGAUAAGCUUACUUCAGAAAAAUGGGUUUUUGAAACUGCUAACACUAAUUUAAUGUAGUAAGUUGCAGAUCUUGUUCUAAUUACAGAGAAGUAGCAUUAUUUAUUUGUACUGGCUCAGAGUGAUGGCCGCUAAGUAGUGGUUAGAGAACAUGAAUAUAGGGUAUCCAGAAGGAUUAAAUGCCUCUUGUGGUGAGGAACGUACAAAAUACCCACUUUACAUACUCUGAUUGGACUUUUGGAGAAAAUUACUAGCAGGGGCUAAACAUUUUCAAAUGAAUCAAGGAUCUUCUGUACUAUAUGAGUUAACCAUCUAGUAUCUUGAACUAAAGGACUAACGUUCUAGCAUAGUAGUACUGACUAAAUUAAAUUCAACUUCCUUUAUUUUCAGUAGAGAAAAACAAUAAUGUAUUACUGCAUUUGAAGCAAUGGGAAUUAUGUGCCUUAUAUUGCCCUGAAAAUUAGCUAUUAAAUAAACCCUUUACUAGGUGUUCUUAAAAAAACAUCUAUCAAAUCUCAUUUCUUGGCUCAGUUGGAGUGUCCAAAUUAUAAUGUGGUUUUAUUAUAGACUGUUGUUGUUGUUGUUGUUUACCAUAUUGGAUAAUACCUUGGUUGUCUAACAUGUCAUAUUGACCAGAACAAAUAUAUCAAAGUGUCACUUGCAGUCACACAGUAGGAGCUUAAUGGUUGGCUUGGUUAUGAUUGUGAACUAUUCUAGUUGCACAUAAAAGGUGCUCACAUGUAUCAAACCAUGGCAACCAAGUGAGCAGUGGCAACAGCUCUCUCCCUGUACUCUCAAGAAAUCUGUUCACAAGGCCAUAUACUGAAUAGGUUUACCUUGUGCCAAAUCAGUCAGGAACAAGUUAUGUCUGAGUUCCAUUGAAAGCAUUAAAAUGCUCUGUUCCCACUGGGUUUAUUGGGAUUAAAAUAUGUCUCACUUCCCUGAAAUAUAAUCCUUAUGGUUUGCUUGUUUCUAAGUAUAUGGAGACCAAGACCAGUCAACCUUAAAGUGCAUCUGGUGCGAGUGUUGUAGCCAUUGACAACAAAAUAGAACAGGCAAUGG